This 73-nucleotide transfer RNA is filed under the name Alosa alosa (allis shad). RNAcentral's name for it is "tRNA-Pro". It matches the Rfam family "tRNA". From Rfam's summary of the family: Transfer RNA (tRNA) molecules are approximately 80 nucleotides in length. Their secondary structure includes four short double-helical elements and three loops (D, anti-codon, and T loops). Further hydrogen bonds mediate the characteristic L-shaped molecular structure. tRNAs have two regions of fundamental functional importance: the anti-codon, which is responsible for specific mRNA codon recognition, and the 3' end, to which the tRNAs corresponding amino acid is attached (by aminoacyl-tRNA synthetases). tRNAs cope with the degeneracy of the genetic code in two manners: having more than one tRNA (with a specific anti-codon) for a particular amino acid; and 'wobble' base-pairing, i.e. permitting non-standard base-pairing at the 3rd anti-codon position. Lineage: Eukaryota; Metazoa; Chordata; Actinopteri; Clupeiformes; Clupeidae. The record is from RNAcentral.
GGCUCGUUGGUCUAGGGGUAUGAUUCUCGCUUCGGGUGCGAGAGGUCCUGGGGUUCAACUCCCGGACGAGCCC